Molecule: transfer RNA, 73 nt
Filed under: Caldilineaceae bacterium
Lineage: Bacteria; Bacillati; Chloroflexota; Caldilineae; Caldilineales; Caldilineaceae
Description: tRNA-Lys
Rfam family: tRNA
About the family: Transfer RNA (tRNA) molecules are approximately 80 nucleotides in length. Their secondary structure includes four short double-helical elements and three loops (D, anti-codon, and T loops). Further hydrogen bonds mediate the characteristic L-shaped molecular structure. tRNAs have two regions of fundamental functional importance: the anti-codon, which is responsible for specific mRNA codon recognition, and the 3' end, to which the tRNAs corresponding amino acid is attached (by aminoacyl-tRNA synthetases). tRNAs cope with the degeneracy of the genetic code in two manners: having more than one tRNA (with a specific anti-codon) for a particular amino acid; and 'wobble' base-pairing, i.e. permitting non-standard base-pairing at the 3rd anti-codon position.
Source: RNAcentral
GGGCUCCUAGCUCAAUUGGCAGAGCAGCGGCCUUUUAAGCCGCGGGUUCAGGGUUCGAGUCCCUGGGAGCUCA